UCCGGUUUGGCACCGGCAGUCUUCCUAGGGUCCCCGACUUAACUCGCUGGCAACUAGGAACGGGGGUUGCGCUCGUUGCGGGACUUAACCCAACAUCUCACGACACGAGCUGACGACAGCCAUGCAGCACCUGUGCAUGGACUCCGAAGAGGGCCUCCCGUUUCUGGAAGGUUUCCCGUGCAUGUCAAGCCCAGGUAAGGUUCUUCGCGUUGCGUCGAAUUAAACCACAUGCUCCACCGCUUGUGCGGGCCCCCGUCAAUUCCUUUGAGUUUCAACCUUGCGGUCGUACUCCCCAGGCGGGGUACUUCCUGCGUUAGCGCCGGCACCCAGAGGGUCGCUCCCCCAGGCACCUAGUACCCAUCGUUUACGGCGUGGACUAC
This 380-nucleotide unclassified non-coding RNA is filed under the name uncultured Gemmatimonadaceae bacterium. Its description in RNAcentral is "contains 16S-23S intergenic spacer region". Lineage: Bacteria; Pseudomonadati; Gemmatimonadota; Gemmatimonadia; Gemmatimonadales; Gemmatimonadaceae. The record is from RNAcentral.